AACGCACAUUGCGCCCCCUGGUAUUCCGGGGGGCAUGCCUGUCCGAGCGUCAUUGCUGCCCUCAAGCACGGCUUGUGUGUUGGGCCCCCGCCCCCCGGCUCCCGGGGGGCGGGCCCGAAAGGCAGCGGCGGCACCGCGUCCGGUCCUCGAGCGUAUGGGGCUUCGUCACCCGCUCUGUAGGCCCGGCCGGCGCCCGCCGGCGACCCCCCUCAAUCUUUCUCAGGUUGACCUCGGAUCAGGUAGGGAUACCCGCUGAACUUAA
RNAcentral lists this unclassified non-coding RNA (262 nucleotides) under uncultured fungus. RNAcentral describes it as "partial contains 5.8S ribosomal RNA, internal transcribed spacer 2, and large subunit ribosomal RNA". The stretch from base 1 to 52 matches the Rfam family "5.8S ribosomal RNA", at positions 103 to 154 of the family's 154-position model. Lineage: Eukaryota; Fungi. The record is from RNAcentral.